RNA transcript from Lagenorhynchus albirostris (white-beaked dolphin), 2135 nucleotides. It is a transcript of the gene named solute carrier family 6 member 11, with no coding region annotated. The record is from RefSeq and is a predicted model, not a curated record. NCBI's taxonomy places the organism in Eukaryota, Metazoa, Chordata, Mammalia, Artiodactyla, Delphinidae. The transcript has 15 exons.
CGCCUCCUGAAAAGCCAGCCCGCCCGGGGCGGCGGCGCAGAGCCGGCCCGGCGCACGAGGCAGCCAGCGCGGCCAUGACGGCGGAGAAGGCGCUGCCUCUGGGCAACGGGAAGGCUGCCGAGGAGGCGCGGGAGUCCGAGGUGCUGGGUAGCGGCGGCGGCAGCGGGGGCGCGGCGUCCGCCCGCGACCCGCGCGACAAGCGCGACAAGGCAGUCCACGAGCGCGGCCACUGGAAUAACAAGGUGGAGUUCGUGCUGAGCGUGGCAGGGGAAAUCAUCGGGCUGGGCAACGUGUGGCGCUUCCCUUACCUGUGCUACAAGAACGGCGGAGGGGCAUUCCUGAUUCCCUAUGUGGUGUUUUUUAUAUGCUGUGGGAUUCCUGUUUUUUUCCUGGAAACAGCUCUGGGACAAUUUACGAGUGAAGGUGGCAUUACGUGUUGGAGGAAAGUGUGCCCUUUAUUUGAAGGCAUUGGCUAUGCAACGCAGGUGAUUGAGGCCCAUCUAAACGUGUACUACAUCAUCAUCCUGGCGUGGGCCAUUUUCUACCUGAGCAACUGCUUCACCACCGAGCUCCCCUGGGCCACCUGUGGGCACAAAUGGAACACAGAGAACUGCGUGGAGUUCCAGAAACUGAACGCAACCAACCACAGCCAUGUGUCCCUACAGAAUGCCACCUCUCCCGUCAUGGAGUUUUGGGAGCGCCGGGUCCUGGCCAUCUCAGAUGGGAUCGAGCACAUCGGGAACCUUCGCUGGGAGCUGGCCUUGUGUCUGCUGGCAGCCUGGACCAUCUGUUACUUCUGCAUCUGGAAGGGGACCAAGUCCACAGGAAAAGUGGUGUAUGUCACCGCGACGUUUCCCUACAUCAUGCUGCUGAUCCUUCUGAUCCGGGGGGUCACGUUGCCCGGGGCCUCCGAAGGCAUCAAGUUCUACCUAUACCCCGACCUCUCCCGGCUCUCCGACCCACAGGUCUGGGUAGAUGCUGGGACGCAGAUCUUUUUCUCCUAUGCCAUCUGCCUGGGUUGUCUGACUGCUCUGGGAAGUUAUAACACUUAUAACAACAACUGCUACAGGGACUGCAUCAUGCUCUGUUGCCUGAACAGCGGCACCAGCUUCAUAGCCGGGUUUGCCAUCUUCUCAGUCCUGGGAUUCAUGGCAUAUGAGCAAGGGGUGCCUAUCGCCGAGGUAGCAGAGUCAGGCCCCGGCCUGGCCUUUAUCGCUUACCCCAAGGCCGUCACCAUGAUUCCCCUCUCCCCACUGUGGGCCACCCUGUUCUUCAUGAUGCUCAUCUUCCUGGGCCUGGACAGCCAGUUUGUGUGUGUGGAAAGCCUGGUGACCGCUGUGGUGGACAUGUACCCCAAAGUCUUCCGGAGGGGCUAUCGGCGGGAGCUGCUCAUCCUGGCCCUGUCGGUCACCUCCUAUUUUCUGGGCCUCGUGAUGUUAACGGAGGGUGGCAUGUACAUCUUCCAGCUCUUUGACUCCUACGCCGCCAGUGGGAUGUGCCUUCUCUUUGUGGCCAUCUUUGAAUGCAUCUGCAUCGGCUGGGUGUACGGAAGCAACCGCUUCUAUGAUAACAUCGAAGACAUGAUUGGCUACCGGCCAUUGUCACUCAUCCAAUGGUGCUGGAAAGUCGUGACCCCCGGGAUCUGUGCGGCUGAGGGCCGCCCCAGGGACCUUUCCCCGUCUCCCCGCAGGGCAUCUUCAUCUUCUUCCUGGUCAAGUACAAGCCCCUCAAGUACAACAACAUCUACACCUACCCCGCCUGGGGCUAUGGCAUUGGCUGGCUCAUGGCCCUGUCCUCCAUGCUCUGCAUCCCGCUCUGGGUCUUCAUCAAGGUGUGGAAGACGGAAGGGACACUGCCGGAGACACACACCGCCUGUUCCCCUGGAUGGGGGAGCGUGAUGACAGCCUUUUGUGGGAAACGUACCUGUUUAUCCAGCGAUCAUUAUAUGAACGGCUCUGAGGUGCCGUAGCUCAUCCUCACAGCAGCCCUUCGGGCAGAAAUUCCAGAAGUUGACGACCCCCAGCGCCGAUCUGAGCACGCGGGGCAAGCUUGGGGCAGGCCCACGGACGGUGAUGGUUAAUGACUGUGACGCCAAACUCAAGGGUGAUGGGACCAUUGCAGCUAUCACAGAGAAG